CAGAGGAAAAUGCAUUGCAAUUAGUACU
This 28-nucleotide non-coding RNA is filed under the name Mus musculus (house mouse). The record is from RNAcentral. Lineage: Eukaryota; Metazoa; Chordata; Mammalia; Rodentia; Muridae.